AGGACGAACGCUGGCGGCGUGCUUAACACAUGCAAGUCGAGCGGAAGGGCCCUUCGGGGUACUCGAGCGGCGAACGGGUGAGUAACACGUGAGCAACCUGCCCUUAGCUUCGGGAUAGCUCCGGGAAACCGGAAUUAAAUACCGAAUAUGACUUUGGCUGACAUCAGCAGAAGUGGAAAGUUUUUCGGCUAGGGAUGGACUCGCGGCCUAUCAGCUAGUUGGUGAGGUAACGGCCCACCAAGGCGACGACGGGUAGCCGGCCUGAGAGGGCGACCGGCCAACGACCUGGGAACUGAGACACGGCCCAGACUCCUACGGGAGGCAGCAGUGGGGAAUAUUGCGCAAUGGGCGAAAGCCUGACGCAGCGACGCCGCGUGGGGGAUGAAUGCCUUCGGGUUGUAAACCCUUUCAGCAGGGACGAAGCGAAAGUGACGGUACCUGCAGAAGAAGCGCCGGCUAACUACGGUGCCAGCAGCCAC
Molecule: ribosomal RNA, 479 nt
Filed under: uncultured bacterium
Lineage: Bacteria
Description: SSU rRNA
Rfam family: Bacterial small subunit ribosomal RNA
Source: RNAcentral